CCUGGCUCACGAUUAACGCUGGCGGCGCGCCUAACACAUGCAAGUCGAACGAUAGAUGAGGAGCUUGCUCUUCAAAUCGAGUGGCGAACGGGUGAGUAACGCGUGAGGAACCUGCCUCAAAGAGGGGGACAACAGUUGGAAACGACUGCUAAUACCGCAUAAGCCCACGGCUCGGCAUCGAGCAGAGGGAAAAGGAGCAAUCCGCUUUGAGAUGGCCUCGCGUCCGAUUAGCUAGUUGGUGAGGUAACGGCCCACCAAGGCGACGAUCGGUAGCCGGACUGAGAGGUUGAACGGCCACAUUGGGACUGAGACACGGCCCAGACUCCUACGGGAGGCAGCAGUGGGGAAUAUUGCACAAUGGGGGAAACCCUGAUGCAGCGACGCCGCGUGGAGGAAGAAGGUCUUCGGAUUGUAAACUCCUGUUGUUGAGGAAGAUAAUGACGGUACUCAACAAGGAAGUGACGGCUAACUACGUGCCAGCAGCCGCGGUAAAACGUAGGUCACAAGCGUUGUCCGGAAUUACUGGGUGUAAAGGGAGCGCAGGCGGGAGAACAAGUUGGAAGUGAAAUCCAUGGGCUCAACCCAUGAACUGCUUUCAAAACUGUUUUUCUUGAGUAGUGCAGAGGUAGGCGGAAUUCCCGGUGUAGCGGUGGAAUGCGUAGAUAUCGGGAGGAACACCAGUGGCGAAGGCGGCCUACUGGGCACCAACUGACGCUGAGGCUCGAAAGUGUGGGUAGCAAACAGGAUUAGAUACCCUGGUAGUCCACACCGUAAACGAUGAUUACUAGGUGUUGGAGGAUUGACCCCUUCAGUGCCGCAGUUAACACAAUAAGUAAUCCACCUGGGGAGUACGACCGCAAGGUUGAAACUCAAAGGAAUUGACGGGGGCCCGCACAAGCAGUGGAGUAUGUGGUUUAAUUCGACGCAACGCGAAGAACCUUACCAAGUCUUGACAUCCCUUGACGAUGCUGGAAACAGUAUUUCUCUUCGGAGCAAGGAGACAGGUGGUGCAUGGUUGUCGUCAGCUCGUGUCGUGAGAUGUUGGGUUAAGUCCCGCAACGAGCGCAACCCUUAUGGUCAGUUACUACGCAAGAGGACUCUGGCCAGACUGCCGUUGACAAAACGGAGGAAGGUGGGGAUGACGUCAAAUCAUCAUGCCCUUUAUGACUUGGGCUACACACGUACUACAAUGGCGUUAAACAAAGAGAAGCAAGACCGCGAGGUGGAGCAAAACUCAGAAACAACGUCCCAGUUCGGACUGCAGGCUGCAACUCGCCUGCACGAAGUCGGAAUUGCUAGUAAUCGUGGAUCAGCAUGCCACGGUGAAUACGUUCCCGGGCCUUGUACACACCGCCC
RNAcentral lists this ribosomal RNA (1356 nucleotides) under uncultured bacterium. RNAcentral describes it as "bacterial SSU rRNA". It matches the Rfam family "Bacterial small subunit ribosomal RNA", at positions 18 to 1395 of the family's 1533-position model. The record is from RNAcentral.